This 225-nucleotide ribosomal RNA is filed under the name uncultured Thorsellia sp. RNAcentral's name for it is "partial 16S ribosomal RNA". It matches the Rfam family "Bacterial small subunit ribosomal RNA", at positions 568 to 792 of the family's 1533-position model. Lineage: Bacteria; Pseudomonadati; Pseudomonadota; Gammaproteobacteria; Enterobacterales; Thorselliaceae. The record is from RNAcentral.
UGCGUAGGCUGUUCUGCAAGUCAGGUGUGAAAUCCCCGCGCUUAACGUGGGCAUUGCAUUUGAAACUAUGUAGCUAGAGUUCUGUAGAGGGGGGUAGAAUUCCAGGUGUAGCGGUGAAAUGCGUAGAGAUCUGGAGGAAUACCGAUUGCGAAGGCAGCCCCCUGGACAGUGACUGACGCUCAUAUGCGAAAGCGUGGGGAUCAAACAGGAUUAGAUACCCGUGUA